UCUCUCUCUCUCUCUCUCAAAAAUGAAUAAAACUUACAUUAAAAAAACUGACAAAUCAAAAAAUCCAAUAUAUUUUAUGUAUAAAUAUGUACAUAUGGGGGCUUUAUUCCUUGCCUAAAGAGUAUCCAUUCUUUCUCCUUCCUAACUGGGCAUCUAUUUUGUUCUGUGUUCAUACUUUCCUUUAUUUAACCCAUAUGCACCAUGAGAAGAUGACAUGAUCCCCCAACACUAUCAGGUGACAAGACUUAGGACAUCUUCAUUUUUUGCUACCAGUGAUCAGGUUAGAAUGGGCAUAUGUUAAAAUUCAGGUCAAUGGGAAGGCUUCAGGGAAGGUUUCCUGGGAGUGACAUGAGGGAGUGACAUAACCUGAAUUAUCACUGCCAUCUUGCUACAUGGAAAGGAAAGACAAGAAGACAAUGGGAAAUGGAUCAUGGCUCGCACCCUUUGGAAGUCUGUCAUACCUCAGAUGAUCAUUUGUUUCUCAUAUAGACAUCCUGAUGGCAACUCUGGUUUAUAACAAAAGAAAAAUAAGAAUACCAAAAAACAUUUGCAUUUGCUGUAAGAUCCGUAUAAUCUGAUGCUGCUAAAAGAACUGCUGUUCAUCCUCCCAAAGAAGAGCUAAUGCUGGGUGUGGAGGAGGACUGGAGGACGUGAAGGAGCUUCUGAAAUAACAGUGGAAGAUGUGCAAGGAGUAGAGUCUUCGAAGUGGGGAAAAGCAGGCAAUAUAAAUAACAAGACAUCCUUAAUGAUGGAAAUACCUUUCAGCCUAUCACUGGAUAGUACUCUUCUAGAUGACUUUUAAACCCCUACAGUGAGAGGAGUUGGAUUCCUUUUUUGGGAUUGGAGUCAAAAAAGGAAAACCUCAGCUUCUGAGCAUGGUGGCUUGUAACGGGAUAAAGAGACAAGUUUCUUUUCAGCCAAGGAUCUAUAAUCAAAUAUCCUUUGUCAAAUAAGCAAAUGUUCCAAAUUAGCAUUAGCUAGCAUUGUUUAGGAUCUCUGAAAAUAGACUUCUGUGUGUUUAACAUUUAUAUCUAAGGCAAUGUUUAAAAUACAGUUACUUUGUAAUGAAGUAUAAUUUGUAAACAUUUUUUUAAUUUUUAUUGAUUUUGUGUUUAUGUGCAUUACAAUGUAUGAUCCUGUAACAACACUUUAAUAAAUGUUCUAUGUAUGCACCUAUGUAAUAGCCACACCUAUAAAGAUAUAAAACAUU
Molecule: long non-coding RNA, 1210 nt
Organism: Felis catus (domestic cat)
Lineage: Eukaryota; Metazoa; Chordata; Mammalia; Carnivora; Felidae
Exons: 2
Source: RefSeq, a predicted model, not a curated record